RNAcentral lists this ribosomal RNA (466 nucleotides) under uncultured bacterium. Its description in RNAcentral is "partial 16S ribosomal RNA". It matches the Rfam family "Bacterial small subunit ribosomal RNA", at positions 30 to 507 of the family's 1533-position model. The record is from RNAcentral.
CGAACGCUGGCGGCGUGCUUAACACAUGCAAGUCGAACGGAAAGGCCCUGCUUUUGUGGGGUGCUCGAGUGGCGAACGGGUGAGUAACACGUGAGUAACCUGCCCUUGACUUUGGGAUAACUUCAGGAAACUGGGGCUAAUACCGGAUAGGAGCUCCUGCUGCAUGGUGGGGGUUGGAAAGUUUCGGCGGUUGGGGAUGGACUCGCGGCUUAUCAGCUUGUUGGUGGGGUAGUGGCUUAUCAAGGCUUUGACGGGUAGCCGGCCUGAGAGGGUGACCGGCCACAUUGGGACUGAGAUACGGCCCAGACUCCUACGGGAGGCAGCAGUGGGGAAUAUUGCACAAUGGGCGGAAGCCUGAUGCAGCAACGCCGCGUGCGGGAUGACGGCCUUCGGGUUGUAAACCGCUUUCGCCUGUGACGAAGCGUGAGUGACGGUAAUGGGUAAAGAAGCACCGGCUAACUACGUG